AUGAAUGAAUGUUGUUUACUUCCUCUUCUAUGGGACUUUUGAUGAUGAGGUAUCACUCCGCCAGAAAAGUAGAGACCUGUGUAUGUGUUUCAUGUUUCCAACAAAGGAAUGAAUGUUGUUUACUUCCUCUUCUAUGGGACUUUUGAUGAUGAGGUAUCACUCCGCCAGAAAAGUAGAGACCUGUGUAUGUGUUUCAUGUUUCCAACAAAGACUUUUGAUGAUGAGGUAUCACUCCGCCAGAAAAGUAGAGACCUGUGUAUGUGUUUCAUGUUUCCAACAAAGGUAUGUUGAU
Molecule: long non-coding RNA, 292 nt
Organism: Nerophis ophidion (straightnose pipefish)
Lineage: Eukaryota; Metazoa; Chordata; Actinopteri; Syngnathiformes; Syngnathidae
Exons: 3
Source: RefSeq, a predicted model, not a curated record